Molecule: transfer RNA, 47 nt
Filed under: Adelosebastes latens (Aleutian scorpionfish)
Lineage: Eukaryota; Metazoa; Chordata; Actinopteri; Perciformes; Sebastidae
Description: partial tRNA-Val
Source: RNAcentral
ACACUUCCCUUACACUGAAGAGACAUCCGUGCAAAUCGGGUCGCCCU